AGUGAACGCUGGCGGUAGGCCUAACACAUGCAAGUCGAACGGCAGCACAGGAGAGCUUGCUCUCUAGGUGGCGAGUGGCGGACGGGUGAGGAAUACAUCGGAAUCUGCCCAGUCGUGGGGGAUAACGUAGGGAAACUUACGCUAAUACCGCAUACGACCUUCGGGUGAAAGAGGGGGAUCGCAAGACCUCUCGCGAUUGGAUGAGCCGAUGUCGGAUUAGCUAGUUAGCGGGGUAAUGGCCCACCAAGGCGACGAUCCGUAGCUGGUCUGAGAGGAUGAUCAGCCACACUGGAACUGAGACACGGUCCAGACCCCUACGGGAGGCAGCAGUGGGGAAUAUUGGACAAAGGGCGCAAGCCUGAUCCAGCCAUACCGCGUGGGUGAAGAAGGCCUUCGGGUUGUAAAGCCCUUUUGUUGGGAAAGAAAUCUUUCAGGCUAAUACCCUGGGAGGAUGACGGUACCCAAAGAAUAAGCACCGGCUAACUUCGUG
This 490-nucleotide ribosomal RNA is filed under the name uncultured bacterium. RNAcentral's name for it is "partial 16S ribosomal RNA". It matches the Rfam family "Bacterial small subunit ribosomal RNA", at positions 29 to 507 of the family's 1533-position model. The record is from RNAcentral.